This 164-nucleotide ribosomal RNA is filed under the name Oryza minuta. RNAcentral's name for it is "5.8S ribosomal RNA". It matches the Rfam family "5.8S ribosomal RNA". Rfam says of the family: 5.8S ribosomal RNA (5.8S rRNA) is a component of the large subunit of the eukaryotic ribosome. It is transcribed by RNA polymerase I as part of the 45S precursor that also contains 18S and 28S rRNA. Functionally, it is thought that 5.8S rRNA may be involved in ribosome translocation. Lineage: Eukaryota; Viridiplantae; Streptophyta; Magnoliopsida; Poales; Poaceae. The record is from RNAcentral.
CACACGACUCUCGGCAACGGAUAUCUCGGCUCUCGCAUCGAUGAAGAACGUAGCGAAAUGCGAUACCUGGUGUGAAUUGCAGAAUCCCGUGAACCAUCGAGUCUUUGAACGCAAGUUGCGCCCGAGGCCAUCCGGCCGAGGGCACGCCUGCCUGGGCGUCGCGC